CCUCUCGGUAACCAGUGUCCCUACAGCCUGCCAGCCCUCCUGGGGGUACAAGUUCAAGCUGCCUGCUCGUGGCUACAGGAACAUUCACUCCACACCUGGAUGUCUCCUCUCCUUUGAGCCCAUCCCCACUACACAGGGACCAGAUCUCCGUCUUCCGCUCUGCAGCCAGGGAAUCGCGCCUCCCCUCCCCACAGCCCUGAUCACCUGGCUGUCACUAUCUGUGGUGGGCCUGUGUCUUCCUCAUCCCGCCCCAGGAGCUUUCACAGGGCAGGGAUCAGAACCGACCCAACCCAGAAAGCCAGUGUCUCAGGAAUGAAGACGCCAUGCCAUCCUUCAAGCCCAGGUCCUUCACGGGGCCCUGGAGUCUCAGAACACUCACUGCGUGCUGCCUUCCUUGGCCUGAGGAUUCAGAAGCUUCUGCAGGAACUGAGCCCGGAGGGAGCAGGCUG
Long non-coding RNA from Psammomys obesus (fat sand rat), 449 nucleotides. RefSeq lists it as uncharacterized. Lineage: Eukaryota; Metazoa; Chordata; Mammalia; Rodentia; Muridae. The record is from RefSeq and is a predicted model, not a curated record. The transcript has 3 exons.